This 851-nucleotide ribosomal RNA is filed under the name uncultured bacterium. RNAcentral describes it as "bacterial SSU rRNA". It matches the Rfam family "Bacterial small subunit ribosomal RNA", at positions 518 to 1378 of the family's 1533-position model. The record is from RNAcentral.
CGGUAAUACAGAGACCUCAAGCGUUAUCCGGAAUUAUUGGGCGUAAAGCGUCCGCAGGCGGUUAGUUAAGUCGGGCAUUAAAUCCCAGAGCUCAACUUUGGGGCUGUGUUCGAAACUAGCUAACUAGAGGGGUGGAGAGGCACAUGGAAUUCCCGGUGUAGGGGUUACAUCCGUUAAUAUCGGGGAGAACACCAUUAGCGAAGGCAAUGUGCUGGACACCUCCUGACGCUCAGGGACGAAAGCAUGGGUAGCGAAUGGAAUUAGAUACUCCAGUAGUCCAUGCCCUAAACGCUGGAUACUAGACAUAAGAAGUUCGACCCUUCUUGUGUGCGAAGCUAACGCGUUAAGUAUCCCGCCUGGGAAGUACGGCCGCAAGGCUAAAACUCAAAGGAAUUGACGGGGACCCGCACAAGCGGUGGAGCAUAUGGUUUAAUUCGUAGCUAAGCGUAGAACCUCACCAGGGCUUGACAUCCUCGGAACCCUGCCGAAAGGCGGGGGUGCCGCAAGGAACCGGGUGACAGGUGCUGCAUGGCUGUCGUCAGCUCGUGUCGUGAGAUGUUGGGUUAAGUCCUCUAACGAGCGCAACCCUUAUUGUAUGUUGAUUUUCACAUGCAAGACUGCCCCGGUAUAACGGGGAGGAAGGUGGGGAUGACGUCAAGUCAGCAUGGCCCUUACGUCCUGGGCGACACGUAUGCUACAAUGGGGAGUACAAAGGGACGCCAAGUCGCAAGACGGAGCUAAUCUCAUACAAAACUUCUCUCAGUUCGGAUUGAAGGCUGCAACUCGCCUUCAUGAAGCUGGAAUCGCUAGUAACCGUGGGUCAGCCACACCACGGUGAAUACGUUCUCGGG